This 137-nucleotide ribosomal RNA is filed under the name uncultured eukaryote. Its description in RNAcentral is "partial 18S ribosomal RNA". It matches the Rfam family "Eukaryotic small subunit ribosomal RNA", at positions 1299 to 1458 of the family's 1831-position model. The record is from RNAcentral.
UCGUGGGGUGACUUGUCUGCUUAAUUGCGAUAACGAACGAGACCUUAACCUGCUAAAUAGCCAGGCUAGCUUUGGCUGGUCGCCGGCUUCUUAGAGGGACUAUCGGCUCAAGCCGAUGGAAGUUUGAGGCAAUAACA